CGGGGUGUAGUGAACCGGUAUCACGUUCGGUUCGGGACCGAGAGGCACUGGGUUCGAUUCCCAGCACCCCGACAA
RNAcentral lists this transfer RNA (75 nucleotides) under Candidatus Levybacteria bacterium RIFCSPHIGHO2_01_FULL_40_58. RNAcentral describes it as "tRNA-Pro". It matches the Rfam family "tRNA". From Rfam's summary of the family: Transfer RNA (tRNA) molecules are approximately 80 nucleotides in length. The record is from RNAcentral. Lineage: Bacteria; Candidatus Levyibacteriota. RNAcentral also lists the same sequence under 5 other names.